Molecule: non-coding RNA, 292 nt
Organism: Pseudonaja textilis
Lineage: Eukaryota; Metazoa; Chordata; Lepidosauria; Squamata; Elapidae
Source: RefSeq, a predicted model, not a curated record
CAGCUGCCCCCUCCGCCUCUCUUGCAGCUACCGGUGGAAAGGCGCCGUCGAGGAGGACGCUGAGGUGCUGCUGAUGAUCAAAACACGGAGCUCCCGGGUCUCGGCAUUGGCAGAGUUUGUCUGGUCGGUACACCCCUACGAAUUGGCCGAGGUGAUCUCCGUCCCCAUCCAGCAAGGGAACCCCCCCUAUUUCCGAUGGGUGGAAGAGGCCGUGGACCCCGAGUGACGGGCCCUUGACCCGCCUGGGCCCACAAUAAAAGUCCCCCCGCCCCGGGGCGGGGCAGUGCCAGGC